AUGGCAUGCAUUUUCAUCACAUUCGGCUCGUUUUCCUUCAAUGGGCCUGGCCAUUUGUUAGUUAUAGCUGCUGCUCAAAGAAGUGGACUUUGCUUUACAAGGCCUGGUGAGUGUGAGGGCGAGAGAGACAGGCGCCGCCGCCUUCUCGCCGACGCGUCGAUCGGACGCCGCCGCCGCCAUGCCAGCAACCACUGCUUGCAGGUCAGCCUGUUCGACGGAAUGUCCGAACUAGCUUCGACCCCCUGCAGUUCCAAGAGCACACGACGCACCACCAAUGGUGUUGAUAGGGUCAGCAGCCUUCCCGACGAGCUGCUCCACCACAUGAUGUCCUUCCUGCCCAUGCCGGAGGUCGUGCGCACAAGUCUGCUCUCGACGAGGUGGCGCAAUCUCUGGGCCUCUACGCCAUACAUCCGCAUCAACCACCAUGACUUUAAGGAUUACGGCAAGCUGAAGAAGUUCGGGGACCACCUGCUACUCUUGCGGGACGGUGCUACUUCCUUGGAUGAAGCCCGGAUCCUUGCCAACAAUGUUGAUACUUUCACGUGUUGUGAGUGGGUUCGUCAUGCCAUCAUGCAAAAAGCUCGUCACCUUCAUGUUUCUGGAUAUGCCCUUUUGGAUAGCACAGCCAUGUUUCCUGCUCAGCACCUCAAAACAAUCAGGCUCCGAUCUCUCGUCUUGAGAGGGGGGUUCGUUAGGCUGCUGAACUGCGAGUGCCCAGUUCUUGAACAUUUAGAGAUAGAGCAGAGCGAUUUGUGGGACCUGAAGGAGAUCUCAUCGUGGUCACUCAAGGUUCUUCAUCUCAUUCGCUGCCUUAUCAUCAAGGGUCUCGUAAUUUGUGCUAGCAACCUUACUCAUCUCUCUAUCGAUGAACAAUCAUGUCAUUCGGGCGCUGUAGUAACUAGGGAUCUGUCUUCUCUAGUAACAGCUUCGAUUAGACUGAGGUAUGACUACUAUCAUACUUCAGGCGGCUCAAUACUGGAUUAUCGUCUACUUGAUGGACUCUCAAAUGCCACAACCUUGGAGUUGCAUGCGCCCUUACCUGAGCUCACAUUUGAGAGAGAUUUGCUGACAUGCCUGGUGUUUAGCAACCUGACAAGUCUGGUGCUGGGUGAUUGGUGCAUGGCUGCUGACUUGUACCCGCUGCGUCGCAUUCUACAUCGCUCCCCCAAGCUGAAGGAGCUAAGUAUAAAGCUUGAAAUGGAGGAAUGUAGGAGCUGUAAGAAAUCCGAAUCUGCUUUGCCGCUAGCAAGGGGAGCACUGCCGUCGGGCUCAGGAAGCAGCCACCCUUUCAUCGAGACGAUCAUUAUCCACUGCCAGAAGAAAGAUUCCAGGGGCGAUGCUUUGCUGCAGGCGUUGAAACUGAUUGCCGGCAAUGCGAAAAUCAGCAUCGAACGUCGCUGA
RNAcentral lists this ribosomal RNA (1401 nucleotides) under Triticum aestivum (bread wheat). Its description in RNAcentral is "partial small subunit ribosomal RNA". The record is from RNAcentral. Lineage: Eukaryota; Viridiplantae; Streptophyta; Magnoliopsida; Poales; Poaceae.